This 279-nucleotide ribosomal RNA is filed under the name uncultured bacterium. Its description in RNAcentral is "partial 16S ribosomal RNA". It matches the Rfam family "Bacterial small subunit ribosomal RNA", at positions 506 to 784 of the family's 1533-position model. The record is from RNAcentral.
UGCCAGCCGCCGCGGUAACACGAACUGCGCGAACGUUAUUCGGAAUCACUGGGCUUAAAGAGUGCGUAGGCGGCUUGACAAGUUGGGUGUGAAAUCCCUCGGCCUAACCGAGGAACUGCGCUCAAAACUGUCAGGCUUGAGGGAGACAGAGGUGAGCGGAACUGAUGGUGGAGCGGUGAAAUGCGUUGAUAUCAUCAGGAACACCGGUGGCGAAGGCGGCUCACUGGGUCUCUUCUGACGCUGAGGCACGAAAGCUAGGGGAGCGAACGGGAUUAGAUA